This 364-nucleotide unclassified non-coding RNA is filed under the name Hevea brasiliensis (rubber tree). Lineage: Eukaryota; Viridiplantae; Streptophyta; Magnoliopsida; Malpighiales; Euphorbiaceae. The record is from RNAcentral.
UCUCCAAGAAGUCCUGAGAUUCUUCAUCCAACUUCUUCUCGACGGGUUUCUCAAUAGCCUCGACGCUUUCAGGGACGGUAAUCGGAUCAGAUCUAUUCUUAUUUUUACGAAACAUUGCGAAGAAAAUAAUGAUGCCAAGGACUGUGAUAAGGGCAAUUCCUCCAANNNCGACGACAUAAACCCAUGUUUUAUCGGAGCUUUUUUUGGAGUUAGGAGAUGGUGAUGAAGGAGGCGGUGGUGAAGCUGGAGGCGGAGGUGGUGCUAUUGUUUGAGUACUCGAUGGUGGGUUUUCCAGGGGAAUCAAAAGCGUAGUGAAGGGAUAAAUGACGGCAUUCUGCUCGCUAAGCCCAUUAGCUUCAAGGCU